Molecule: long non-coding RNA, 971 nt
Filed under: Monodelphis domestica (gray short-tailed opossum)
Lineage: Eukaryota; Metazoa; Chordata; Mammalia; Didelphimorphia; Didelphidae
Description: lncRNA (ENSMODG00000049131.1)
Source: RNAcentral
CAAAAGAGCGAGUUAGUGACCAAUAGAGACGUCAGGGAGAGUCUGAGCUCAACAAACACCAGGACGAGUAUUUCUUCCGCCCAGGGGGGUGGGGGUGAGGCCGAAGGCUGGGACUCCAAGCCCAGGCAGCGCCCCGCCCCCCCCCCCAAAGCAUCACCAUCUCGAUCAUCCCAACCAUUCCCAGCCCGGGGAAGAGGGUCCUGCGCCCCAGACCUCCCUCAGGUACUGAAUGCUGUGUGCUUCAAGGAUUACAAGGGUGACUCGGGUCAUUGAGUUUUCUGUGUCCUAAUCUGUCUCAUCUAAGAGACACGAUCUUGAUUCAUUCAAUAAGCAGUUACCGAGUGUCUUCUUUAUACCAGGAGCUCAAGAAACAAGGGGGGAAACAAUAGUUCUUCCCCUCCAGGAGCUUAUGUUUUAUUGGAAUCAAAUCCAAUCCUACCUAUUGAAUUCAAAUUUACCAAACAUUUUGUACCCCCAAUAUCUGCAAGACACUGUGCUAAAGACUAGGGGAAAUAUAGGGAUAUGAUUAUGAAGGUAGAAUUCCUGUUCUUGAGUUUGUAGUCUCUAGUGGAAUGUGGUGGGGAGGCAGGUAUAACAUGGGCACAGACAAAUAUAAUGAAAGACAGAGAGUAAUGCAGACAAAAAAAAAGAGAUUUUAGGGGCAUCUGGUUGAAGGAACUAGGCAUGUUUAGCUUAGAGAAGAAAAGAUUUAGGGGUGUUUAUAUAGUGGUCUUCAGGGGCAGCAUAUAAUAGAGAGAGCCUUUGGGGUCUGAGUCCAAAACCCCUCUAGACUGUGUAUCAUGAAUUGAGAUCAGAAAAAGGAAUCCAACAGGCCAUCAAAGAACUUCCUAAGAAAAAAUCCCCAGGGCCUGAUGGAUUCACAAGUGAAUUCUAUCAAACAUUCAAAGAACAGCUAAUCCCAAUACUAUACAAACCAUUUGACAUUAUAAGCAAAGAGGGAGUUCUACCAA